AUUGAUCCUCGGCAUUUUGGCUAAGACCUAAUGUAGUAUCUGCUGUUAUCAGUUUAAUAUCUGAUACGUCCCCUAUCUGAGGACAUUUUUUUUCCUAGUAAAAUUAUUUUCUUUAGUGAUAGUAUCCAUA
RNAcentral lists this small nuclear RNA (130 nucleotides) under Choloepus hoffmanni (Hoffmann's two-fingered sloth). RNAcentral's name for it is "U2 spliceosomal RNA (ENSCHOG00000015803.1)". It matches the Rfam family "U2 spliceosomal RNA". From Rfam's summary of the family: U2 is a small nuclear RNA (snRNA) component of the spliceosome (involved in pre-mRNA splicing). The record is from RNAcentral. Lineage: Eukaryota; Metazoa; Chordata; Mammalia; Pilosa; Megalonychidae.